Molecule: ribosomal RNA, 253 nt
Filed under: uncultured bacterium
Lineage: Bacteria
Description: partial 16S ribosomal RNA
Rfam family: Bacterial small subunit ribosomal RNA
Source: RNAcentral
AACGUAGGAGACAAACGUUAUCCGGAGUUACUGGGCGUAAAGGGCGUGCAGGUGGUCUGUUAAGUCUGGCGUGAAAGCUCCUGGCUAAACCGGGAGAGGUCGUUGGAUACUGGCGGACUAGAGGACGGUAGAGGCGUGUGGAAUUCCGGGUGUAGUGGUGAAAUGCGUAGAGAUCCGGAGGAACACCAGUGGCGAAGGCGACACGCUGGGCCGUACCUGACACUGAGGAGCGAAAGCGUGGGGAGCAAACAGG